RNAcentral lists this long non-coding RNA (4004 nucleotides) under Lupinus angustifolius (narrow-leaved blue lupine). RNAcentral's name for it is "long non-coding RNA (LANG_LNC001892)". The record is from RNAcentral. Lineage: Eukaryota; Viridiplantae; Streptophyta; Magnoliopsida; Fabales; Fabaceae.
UACAUCCCAUAAUGCAAUAUUAUAUUUUAAUUUUAUCCAAAUAUCCUAUAUGGGGUGGAUCCAAUCAGUUUUUGCUUUGUGCUCAUCAAACUCUAUCAACAUGUAAAUUCUUCAAAGUCCUAUUAAAUUUAUCAUCUCCUAAUACCUUCUUGUAUAGCUCAUGAUGAAGUUUCAUCUCAUUGUUCAAGUCAUAACGAACUAGCAUAUGAUCUGGUAUAGCAUUGAUAUUGAACAGAAAAAAUAAUUUCCAUCACCAUCCACAUCACAAACAGACUCUAUAUACUCUGGUAUAGCAUUUGGGACACUGAAGGUGUGUGACUUGUGUAAUUGAAAUAUUUUCUUUUCUGAUGAUUGAGUUGUGUUCAACCAUAGUCGAGAUGUCAUCUUCUAUGAUGCUUGGGCUACUUUCACUUUUUGAGGUUGAGAUAUUAUCUUAUGCGAUUUUUGUAAUGUUUUCUUUUGGGAAGGUGUGGUUGUUUUGAUCCGUGAAGAUUGAGAUAUUAGAUUCCUUCUCUUCACGGGUUGUUCGGAUGCUUCUCUCUACUUAUCAAUAUGCUCCCAUAAUGAAGGAUCGCAGUUAAGAAACUUUUCUUUUGUAGAAAAACCUUUUUUCAUAACUAUUUCCUUGGGAUGAAUCAUUGAGGUAGUUUCAUACCAUAAUAAUCGAUGUCUAAAUUCCUCAAUUAUUGGUUCUGGAUCAAACUUUUCUUCUUCUUCAUUGAUAGAUUUAUUUUCAUUAUCAAAUAAAGAUAAUCUCUACCAUUGAACAUGCACCCACUACAACAUUUUUGGCUUAUGGCAACACUUUCAAUUACAACGGUGAUAAAACUGUGGCUAUAGAGCACAUUAGGCAACGGUUUUUUAAAUUGUUCUCUUACACUUUUUUUUACGUUUUUAAGACAUAACAGUGAAAAACCAUUCCCCAAAAACUAUUCUCAUGGCAUCCCACCACAGUUUUAUUGGCGUGGCCUAAUAAUCUUUAAAAAAACAAUAGAAGAAACCAUUCUUGAAUAUCAAACAUCGCAAAUACAAUAUACCUCUCACUUUGAUUCAACCUCACUCUCACGGUCUCACCCUCUUCACUCUCACGGUCCCACCCUCCUCACUCUCACGGUCUCACCCUCCUCACUCUCACUCUCACCCUCAACCUCACUCUCAUUGAAAGUCUCACUUUGGUGUUCCUCUUCACUCUCUAAUCUAUCACAAUGAACCUGAUUUAGGAUUUGAUGUGAGACUAUGUUUGAUUUUUAGUUUGAUUUGUGGUUUUGUUCUAUUUGAUAUUUUGUUUGAUUUGAGGUUAUUUUUUAUUUAGGGUUCUAUUUGAUUUGGGGUUUUGUUUCUAUUUAAAAACAUUAACAUCAUUCAGAUUUCUCACUUCAAUAUUUUUGAUUCUAUUACCAGAUAGGUUUGCUAAAUUGGUUUGCCAAGCUUGCUCAGAUGAGGAACAAUGGUAGAGGUGGUGCAACUGUUGUUGGAGUUUUUAUUCUAAAACAUUAUCCAUCUUCAACGUCUCUGAUUCCUAUUUCAUUCUUUUUUGGAGCUUUCUAUUUUAAUUUAAGAUUUGAAGCUUGUUAGCAUUAUCCAUCAAUCUUAAUCAUUACAUGCAUGCUCUAUUUUGUUCAAAUUUUUCUUACCUAUUAUUUUUAGAUUUCCGAGGUAUAUGCAAUAGCAUAAUGAGGCAAUUGCGCAAUCUUUUCUAGAAUACCUGCAAGUUCAAUCUUUAGGACAAUAUAUUUUUACUUCCAUGAAGCCAUUCUACUAAUUAUAAAUUGCCUUUAAUUUUCUUAAAUGACCACUUCAAGUGGUUAUUGAUCCUUUAUAGUAUUUUUUAUUGGAAGUUCUUAUGUCUCCAUUGGACCUCUUUGAUUUAUGCAUUACAUCAUUUAAGCAUUAUGUUCCAGACAUUUCAAAGUUUGGUUGUUAUGAAUGUGUGGAAACCAGCUGCUUAAGUGUUUCAACCCCAAUAAGUUGUUGAAGUGUUUUAGUGUUUCAUUAUUUUUCUCUCUUCCUUAUUUCUCCCCCAUCCUAGCAGGGUUAAUAUAGUUGGUCAUGUAAAGCAUAAAACUUGUUAAUAGGAAUGGCAACGGGGCGGGUCGGGGUCGGGUUUGUACAUACCCAAACCCGAACCCGAAAUUCAAAACCCGAACCCGAACCCAAACUCAACGGGGUUGAAAAUAAAAAUACCAUCCCCGAACCCGAAAAUGAUAAAGUGUUAAGGAAAAUAUGAUAUUAUUUUCGUGUAAUUUUACUCUAACAUUUCUAUUUUCUCUUGUAUUAUUUCAUUUCUUUUAUGUUUGAAGAUCAAAUAGUAUAUAAAGUAACAUUAGAGAUUAAAAACAAUUGGCAAAUGAUAGAAAUUUCAAUUUUAAAUUGAAUUACCUUACUUCGGGGCGGGUUCGGGUUAGGGUCUUUGCUAUACCAAACCCGAACCCGAACCCGAAAUUUAAACUCGGGUAAAACCCGAACCCGAACCCAAUCACAUCGGGUUUUCCCCGUUAAAUUCGGGUUCGGUUCGGGCGGGUACCCACGGGUUCGGUUUUUAUUGCCAUCCCUACUUGUUAACAACUUUGAUAUUGUUUUAUCUUACUCUCUAUGGUAGUAGCAAGUUCAUAUUGGUAGAAACUAGAAAGAUUUGUCAUAUGUUGGUUCUGUUAUUGUUAUGGAAGUUACACCUCAAAGCAGAUGUUUCUGUUAUUCUCACCACCACUAUAUUAUGCUUUCUCUUUUUUACUAUAAAAUUAUGUUGAUGAUCUAAAAAGAGUUUUUAACUAAGAUUUUUAGAUAUGACAACUAAGAUUUUUACUAUAAAAUUAUGUUUCUGAUGUUAUCCCUUACCAUUUGAAUUCAAGAAGUUGUUAAUACCUUAGUUUGUAAUUAAUUUUAUAUAGGUGAUUCAUUGAGUACUUGAAGGGACUGCUUGAAUUUGAAUUCAAGAAGUUGUCAUAUGUUAGUUGGAUGUUUACUGUUUUCUGCUGCAAUUUCCUCUGGUUUUCUAUUUGUUGUUUUGCUUUUCUUCUGGCUGGCUAGUUACUCUAUUCUUUUCAAUCUGUAAACUUUAUGCUUGUUAAUGAAAUAUGUUGUUUUUAACACCUUAUAAAAAAUGCUUAGUGUUACUUUAAGAAACUAAAUUCUAAGUGGUUGAUAGUUCUAUGGCUUUUAAUAUGGCGAUAAAGUGCUUCUUAAUUCUAGAGUAGUGAAUAGUAAAUAAUCUCUUUAUAUUUCCUAAUUACCUUUUUUUCCUAACAGUACAUGCUUAAUCAACAAUCUUAAUCAUUGAAACUCAAUUUAGUCCUAAGCUUAUUCACACUUUUUGGAUGCAGUUUAACGAAAGGAAAGAUAUUCUAGAAUACUAGUUGUAUUGAGUGUUGUGUUCCUUUUAUAUUUCAUGUUCCUUGUUUAUGUGGUGGGAAUAAAGUUUGGUUAUUGUUGUUGUUCUCAUUGUUUAUGUGGUUAUUUUUUAUAAAACCUGUGUAUGAUUGAAUGAUGUGUGUUCAACAUGAGUGAGAUUCUUUUCUAUAUCCUCACAUUUGACAUUCUUCUAUACUUUUGCAGCACCAACUCAUAUAUGACUCUAAGAUGGAAGUAGUCAGAUAUAUAAGGUACUAUGGAAAGAGGAAAAUUUUCAGCUUUUCUGGCAAUGGAUUUGGACCGGACAACUUGGACCAUGACCUCUUCAUAGUUCAUGUGUUCUCUUACCAUAGCUAGAAGACCUGCUUCUGUCUUUUUUUAAAUGUUUAUCCUUCAAAAAAAUUACAUUGUUUAUGUUUCCUAUAUACACUUGGUAGUGUUGUCACUAGGAAAAUAGCUGGUAACAUACAUAAAUUAUACAAAUAUGCUGGUAUAAACGUAAUAAUUAUAAGUAGUGAUAGCAAUCAUCUGUUCCAAGUCCCCAUGACAAAUUAUUCCCUUAUAACCUACUCAUUUGUGUAAUAUGAUGACAUAAUUAUUCUUAAAUAGUUGAUUAAAUAAAUAUUACUUUUAGUAAUAAAAAAUGUAUUGUGAGA